GAGUACUUACGUUUCCUCGGUGGGUUCGCCCGCCGAUUGGACAAUUUAAACCCUUUGCAGUUGCAAUCAGCGUCUGAAAAACAUAAUAGUUACAACUUUCAACAACGGAUCUCUUGGUUCUGGCAUCGAUGAAGAACGCAGCGAAAUGCGAUAAGUAGUGUGAAUUGCAGAAUUCAGUGAAUCAUCGAAUCUUUGAACGCACAUUGCGCCCCUUGGUAUUCCAUGGGGCAUGCCUGUUCGAGCGUCAUUUGUACCUUCAAGCUUUGCUUGGUGUUGGGUGUUUGUCUCGCCUUUGCGUGUAGACUCGCCUUAAAACAAUUGGCAGCCGGCGUAUUGAUUUCGGAGCGCAGUACAUCUCGCGCUUUGCACUCAUAACGACGACGUCCAAAAGUACAUUUUUACACUCUUGACCUCGGAUCAGGUAGGGAUACCCGCUGAACUUAAGCAUAUCAAUAGGC
RNAcentral lists this ribosomal RNA (458 nucleotides) under Microsphaeropsis olivacea. Its description in RNAcentral is "eukaryotic LSU rRNA". The stretch from base 94 to 247 matches the Rfam family "5.8S ribosomal RNA". The record is from RNAcentral. Lineage: Eukaryota; Fungi; Ascomycota; Dothideomycetes; Pleosporales; Didymellaceae.